UACGAAGGGGGCUAGCGUUGUUCGGAAUUACUGGGCGUAAAGCGCACGUAGGCGGAUCUGUAAGUCAGGGGUGAAAUCCCGGGGCUCAACCUCGGAACUGCCUUUGAUACUGCAAGUCUCGAGUCCGAUAGAGGUGAGUGGAAUUCCUAGUGUAGAGGUGAAAUUCGUAGAUAUUAGGAAGAACACCAGUGGCGAAGGCGGCUCACUGGAUCGGUACUGACGCUGAGGUGCGAAAGCGUGGGGAGCAAACAGG
This 253-nucleotide ribosomal RNA is filed under the name uncultured bacterium. Its description in RNAcentral is "partial 16S ribosomal RNA". It matches the Rfam family "Bacterial small subunit ribosomal RNA", at positions 524 to 776 of the family's 1533-position model. The record is from RNAcentral.